GCGUGAGCGUGCUAAGGUAGCGUAAUAAUUAGCCUUUUAAUUGGAGGCCAGUGAAUGGCAAGACUAGGAAUAUCUGUACUUUGUAUAUAAAAAAAAUUUUUCAUCUAAGUGAAAAGACUUGGAUAAAAAAGGAAGACGAAAAGACCCCGCGGAACUUUACCUUUUCUUACACCUCUGUUCACAAACUUAAAGGUCUAUAAGGUUUGAUUGGGGCAAUCUUGGAACCAAUAAAGCUUCCAAUUAGCUUUAAGAAAAUAUAAAAAAUUUUUUAAGGACCAAAAAGUAGUUACCCCGGGGAUAACAGCGUAAUCUAACUUAAGAGUACAUAUCGAAAGUUGGGUUUGCGACCUCGAUGUUGGCUUAAGGAUAUCCACAUUAGUGCAACCGCUAUGACAGGAUAGUCUGUUCGACUACCAUUCCCUUACACGAGCUGAGUUAAGACCGGCGCAAGCUAGGUUGGUUUCUAUCUCCUUUUCUUAAAACUCUUCUUGAUUGUACGAAAGGACC
RNAcentral lists this ribosomal RNA (507 nucleotides) under Lanceolaria grayii. RNAcentral describes it as "partial 16S rRNA". It matches the Rfam family "Bacterial large subunit ribosomal RNA", at positions 1940 to 2693 of the family's 2925-position model. The record is from RNAcentral. Lineage: Eukaryota; Metazoa; Mollusca; Bivalvia; Unionida; Unionidae.